RNAcentral lists this ribosomal RNA (610 nucleotides) under Ablabesmyia sp. SARC1. RNAcentral's name for it is "partial large subunit ribosomal RNA". It matches the Rfam family "Eukaryotic large subunit ribosomal RNA", at positions 451 to 900 of the family's 3401-position model. The record is from RNAcentral. Lineage: Eukaryota; Metazoa; Arthropoda; Insecta; Diptera; Chironomidae.
UUCAAUACUGUCAUCUCGCGAUAAUGGUGUGCACUUUUCUCUUAGUAAGACGUUGUGAUCCAUUAGGAAUUGAUGUAUGUCUUAUGACAUCGUUGUGCUACCAAUAGACUGGCAUUGAAGUUCAUCCAGGCAAAUGGCGCGAUCUUUUGGUUGUGCGUAUUGACGGGUGAGCGUGCCAUGCACUGAUGUAGCUGCCUGAUGGGUUUUAAAGGUCGUAUCAUUGAUGCUUGUUCAUCACCGAUUUUUUUAAUUGGAUUUAAGAUAUGUACCCGAUCAACAACGGUUUCAUUUGGGAUACCUUUGGGACCCGUCUUGAAACACGGACCAAGGAGUCUAUCUAGUAUGCAAGUAAGUGGGACUAACGAACUAAACCUAUUUGCGUAAAUAACUUGACUGUUAUUCCAAUGGGAUUACGUACACACACAUUUAUUUGAGUGUGCACCUCCAUCCCGGGGUAUUUUCAUAACAUAUGCGGGGGCUUGCUCUCGCAUAUAGAAAAUAUACCAUGAGCAUACUGGACAUGACCCGAAAGAUGGUGAACUAUGCCUGAUCAGGUUGAAGUCAGGGGAAACCCUGAUGGAGGACCGAAGCAAUUCUGACGUGCAAAUCG